Triticum aestivum (bread wheat) is the source of this 125-nucleotide non-coding RNA. The record is from Rfam. Lineage: Eukaryota; Viridiplantae; Streptophyta; Magnoliopsida; Poales; Poaceae.
AAGAUACUCCCUCCGUCCGGAAAUACUUGUCGAAGGAAUGAACGUAUCGAGACGUAUUUUAGUGUUAGAUACAUCCAUGUUUAGUCAUUUUUACGACAAGUAUUUCCGGACGGAGGGAGUAUCAU